Molecule: long non-coding RNA, 6787 nt
Organism: Piliocolobus tephrosceles (Ugandan red Colobus)
Lineage: Eukaryota; Metazoa; Chordata; Mammalia; Primates; Cercopithecidae
Source: Ensembl
UUGAUAAAAUUUUUAAUAAGUACAAAAUAGAUGUUUCCAAUUUAGCCAAGUAUUAUGAUUUUAAAACAAAUGAAAAUAAAACUGGUAAUAACAUCGAUGAAGAGAAGAGUGCUAGCUUAGAGAAGAGUAUGAAUAACAUAGGGGGAGAUAGUAAUAAAAUUGGUUCUAAUGGGACUGGUUCUAAUGGGACUGGUUCUAAUGAGACAGGUUCUAAUGAGACAGGUUCUAAUGAGACAGGNNNNNNNNNNGUUCUAAUGAGACAGGUUCUAAUGAGACAGGUUCUAAUGAGACAGGUCCUAAUGAGACAGGUUCUAAUGAGACAGGUCCUAAUGAGACAGGUUCUAAUGAGACAGGUUCUAAAGGGACAGGUUAUAAUGAGACAGGCUCUAAUGAGACAGGUUCUAAAGGAACAGGUUCUAAAGGGACAGGUUCUAAAGGGACAGGUUCUAAAGGGACAGGUUCUAAAGGGACAGGUUCUAAAAAGGCAGUUUCUAACGAGACUUGUUCUAACAGAACCAGAUCCAACGAAAACGACAACAAGAACAAGAACAGCAACGAGAAAAAGUUAGAGCAAAAUAAUAUAACUAAAGGUGAAAAGGAAAGUUACAAUAGUAAUGUCGAGUGUUCCAGUAACAAUAUCGAAAUAAACCAUUCGGAUAAAAUAAAAAUAUUGUUUGAACAAAACAAAAGCAAUGAGAUAACAAGUGGUUAUUUAAAGAAAAAUAAAAAAGAUACUUUGGAAAAAAAAAUAUGCGAAGAAAAAUUGUCAUUAUCAGGAAAUUUGUCAGAUGACAGCGCGAGUGAAAAUAGUGAAGAACAUACAGAUGAUAAUGAAUCGUUAAACUUUGAAAGUGAUGAUAAUGAUUAUAUAACAGAAAAUGUUUUAAAAGUUAUAUUAAAUAUAAAAGGAGAAAAAAUAAGCUUGGAGCAUUUUAAAAAUUAUUUUACCAACUUAAAUUACGAUGUUCAGAUUGAAAAUAUACAAUUAUUAUAUAAUUGUAUUUAUAAAUAUCGUUUGAAUCAGGUUGAUAACAAAAGUGAUAAGCGUAUAGAUGUGUCAGAUGUAAAUGUUGAUACAAAAGAAACAGAUGAAGACGAAGUAUACAUAACUGUUACCGACAUCCAGAACUAUAUAAUUAGUAGAAAUGUUAAAAAUAAUAAUUAUUUUAAUAAAGUUAUUAAAAUGAUUAUACACUUUAAUAAUAUUAUUGUACUUAUGUUAAAUAGUAAUAAAACUGAAACAAUAGAUAAAAUCUUAUUUGAAUUACUAUCAAUAAAGUUUGCAUCUGUAUUUAAUGACAUAUUAAAAUUACCUAAUGAUAUAGAUAACUUAAUAAAGCAUUUAAACGAAAUUAUACAGUUAAUUUUAUCUGAUGAAUCGAAAGACCAUAAUUUAAAAAACAUAAUAUGUAAAUACUUGAACAGUCAGGGUAUAUUAAUCAAAAAAAAUGAUAUUUUAGCACAGCUAAAUGGAAGAAAACCUACGAAGUGGGAAGGUCUAAAAAUGGAUUGUGUCGAAGAACAAAUUAGUCAUUUUAGUGACGAAACUAAACAGAAUAGUAUUUUUUCUGUAGGUGAUGUUGCAACUAUUCAAACGGACUAUAGUGCUAGCCAAUCAAAAAAACAUAUAAUUUCAAAAAAUGUUAGCACAAGUAAUAAUAAAGUGACUGAAAAUAGUAGUGGAAGCUGUAGCAGUGGCACUAGCAGUUGUAGCAAUGGUAUUAUUAAAACAGGUAAUAUUAAAAAGGCAAGUAAGAAAUCAAUGAGUAGUGUUAACAAGGACUCUGAGAACAACACACGCCUUUUGACGAACAACAUGAUAGGAGUACUACAUGAUAAAAAAGAAAACACUGUAGGUGAAAAUACAAAAAAAAGUUUAACAGGUACUAAGAAAAAAAAAAAAAAUAUGAUAGUAAAUAAUAAUCAAACAUUAAGCGAUUUUGUUGUUUCAAGAGGUGUGGAUAGUCAAAACCAAGCUGCUAACAACAGUAGUACUGCUAGUGUCAAAGGUAGCAGUAACAAAAGUGUUCAAAGUAGUAGUAACGAUAGCAUAGGUAGUGGUAUAAGUAGUGGUAUAGGUACCGGCAUAGGUAGCGGCGUAGAUAGUGGCGCAGGUAGUGGUGUAAGAGAUAACAUACGAAACGGGUGCAAUAAAGGGAGUGUUAAAACUAGUAGUAACGAAAGCAUAAAAAGUAGUAUCAAAUCGAAAAACAGAUACAGUGUCGGUGGCAGUCUUAAAGAUAGCGUGCGAACUGGCACCAGUAACCGCACCAUAAAAGAAAACAUGAAGGAGAAAGAAAACAAGACUAACAACCAUAAUUUAAAGAGUCAAGAUAACAUGAUAAGUAACAACAAAAAAAAUGACAAACAAGAAAAUGAAAAAAAUGUUAACAACACUAGUACUAAUUUAAACAAAAAUGUUGAAAAAAUGAAAGAAGGUUUAAAAAAGAAAAAUGUAUUAAAAGAAGAAUCAAAUAAAAUUGCAACUGCAGAAAAAGAAACUGAUAAAAUAAAAAAAACAAAAAAAAAUGCACAAGUAACAACUAAUAAUGAUAAAAAAGUGAGCAAACACUUUACAAGUGAAGGUAAUGUAGAAAUUUUAAAAGGAACUAAAAAUAAAGUUAACAGUGUUGAAAAUAAAAUUAAUCAUGUUGAAAAUAAAAUUGCGGACGUACAAACAAAUGUGGGGAUGAGUGUAAAUUUAAAUAAUAAAAACAAUGUAAAUGAGGUACAAAACAAUUAUAAUUACGUAAAAAAUAAUAGUAAUUACCCUAAUAUACGAAUGUAUAGUUUAGCAAACAACACCAAUGCAAUGGUUGUAGCAGCAGGAGGUGCUCUUAAUAGUGCUAACAGCAUAAUUACAAACGAGCCGUAUAGACACUCUUUCAGUACAAAUCACAAAAAUAUUGUCACGACACAACAUACUAAGCUUUACCCACCGAACCCUAUGGUAUACAAAAAAGGGUUUCCUAUUGUGUUAUCUAAUACUAGCAAUUUAAAAAAAAAUAGUUUAAGCAGUACGGGUAAAUAUGGUAAUAAGACUCAACAAAAAGUCUUUGGUGGAAAUUUAUCUACUCACAGUGAUACUCAUAGGGAUACGCAUAACUAUACAUACCAUCACCAUAAUAGUAAUAAUGUUUGUAGCAAUAUGCACAGUAAUGAUAAAUAUGCCGUUAACAACGUAAGUAAGUCUAAUGAUGCAAAAUCAAAAAUAAAGCAUAACAAUAGUAAUAAUAUAAAUAACAUAGUAGAACAUAGUUAUUUAUGGAAUGGUUCAAAUAAUGUAAAUAUAAAUAAGCAACAUACUGACAUAUUGGAUUAUAAUUAUGUUAUUAAUAACAAUACAAGAAAUAUACAUGACAACUCAAAUAGUGAAAACCGAAGUGGUAGUAAUAGUAAAAAUAAUAAUGUGAGUCCGCAAAUCAUACAAAAUUAUACGAACCAAAUAGAAAGUACAAAAGACACGAGUUCGUUAUCUAAUCAACACAAAAUGUUAAACGUAAAUUCGAGCAAAUCGAAUAUGACAGGUAAUACAAGAGUAGUCAUAUCUGAAAAUACUAAUGAUCAUAAUAAUAUAUGUGCGAAAAAUUUAUUAGUGUAUAAUACUAACCAAAAGGGGGUCACAAAACAGAAUAUCCAAAAGGGUGACGUUAGUAGUAAUACUAAUAUGGUUAACAAAAUUGACUCGAACAUGAACAUGCGUACAAACAUGAACACGAGCAUGAACAAGACCAUGAACAAGACCAUGAACAAGACCAUGAACAAGACCAUAGAACAUUACACUUUAAAAAGUAAUGAUAUAAUGAAUAAUGUAUAUAAAAUGAAAAAGAUACCGCUACCUUAUUUGAAUUAUGAUAAAAAAACACUUAUGUUUGAAAAUGGAAUGCAUAAUAAUGGUUACAACAAAUUGAUGAACAGUAGUGGUGCAGCAAAUAUGGCAAUCAACAAUGAUACGACAAAUGUAGCAAACAACAACAAUAUGUUUUUCACUUUCAAACGCAAAAUUAAUAAUACAAAUGAUAAAACUAAUGCAUCAAUGCAAAAAGCAAAGGAACCACGUGCACACAGAAGUGCAACUACGAAUCUAUUUGUAAAUCCUACUAAUGAUUUAACUAAUAAAAAUAUGAACAAGACAGGAGAAGUUAAUUAUAACGGUAGUGCAAAAAUUACACUAGCUAAUUUCGAAAGCAAUUUAAUAAAACCAACCGAUUUAAAAAUGGCGACAAGUAGUAAUAGAACAGGUUAUAAUGAUAACAGCCACAGCAAGGCAUAUAAAACCGAUAACGUAUUAAAAGUAGAAGUACAAAAUGAAAAAGAAAAAAAGAAUGCCUACAGUCGCUUUACCGAAAUGAUUUCAAACAAAUUAAAAAACUUUACUUUACGAACUAAUAAGUUAGAAGUUUAUAGUGAACCUAAAAAAAAUAGUCCAUUAUCUAACGGCAAUAAUGAUAAAGAAACAAAUGAUCAUAACAGAAAUAUUAGAGGUAGCAAUGAUUCCGAAAUGUGUAAGGACAAUGAUAGUAAUAAUAAUAAUAACAAUAAUAGUAGUAGUAUUAAUGAUAAUAAGAGUAACAAUGGUUCGAUUCAAGCAUGCAUUAACCAAAAAAAAGACAUAAACAAAGACAUAAACAAAGACAUAAACAUAAACAUAAACAAAAACGUAAAUAACAGUAACUAUGCCAGCUACAGUUUUGGUGAUAGUAAAAAUAAAGAUAAAACUGCUACUUGCUUUAUGAAUCCAGUAAAUAUAAAACAAAAUAAUCAUGCUGUAGUAACAGGUGGUACAAUUGCAAGUGCAAAAGGAGUGGUAGAUAAUGUGUUGAAAGAAAAAAAAGGACAAGUACAACCACAACCACAACCACAACCACAACCACAACCACAAAUGCAAAUCCAAAUUAAGAACAACACAGAACCAAAUGCGACUAUAAUAACAAAUAAAAGCAACACAAACAAUAAUAAAGAAACAAAUGCAAAACCAAUAGCCGAAAAUAAUAUGAAAAAUACUGUGAACCAUUUAUACACCGUAAAAAAAAAUACAAUAGGAGUUGAUGACACAAAUAAAUCGAGCAGUAUAUAUAAUAAUACCUUGCACACAUAUAAUAACGUUUAUAAUGAUAAACAAGACAUAAAUAACAAUAUAAAAAAUAGCCAUUCAAUAGUAAAUACAGUUGGUCGUACACAACAAAAUAUAAUAAAAAACAUGAACAACAAAAAUACACAAUAUGUGACUUGUAAAAAAAUGAAUGUGCCUUACUAUCCCCACUUUCAAAAACGAAAUAGCAAUUAUUUACAUGAAUCCAAUUCAUAUACAAAACGUAAUGAUAAAAAUAAUGCACACUUAAAAAUUAACGAACAAAAUAAUGAAACAAAUAUGAACAUUUUAAAAACUAAUAAAAUAUAUUUUCCGAAUGACUCUAUCAUGAAUCAACAACCUGUCUUUAUGGGUAAGGAAAAUAAAAAUUUUGUUGAAAAUUCUGUUAAUACUAAAAUGGGCAUAAGUAAUUAUAUUAGUAGUAAUAUUGUGGGUACAAGUCAUGUUGGUGCGUAUGCUGUACAUGCAAAUGUAGGUAAUGCAAAUGUGGCUAGUACAAAUGUGGCUAGUGCAAAUGUGACUAAUGCUAAUUCCGCAAAAUCCACUUCCCUACAUAAAUUAAAACAAGUAUCAAACAGUUUCAAUACAUAUAACGGGAAAAUGAAUAUAGACAAUAAUAAAGACAUCUUAAAUGCAACAAAUUAUCAUAAAGCGGGACAAAAUAAUUUGUAUGAGGGUUUAUAUUCACAUGAUAUGCCAAAACAAAUGGUCAUACCUGAGUACCGAGUUAUAAAUAGCUAUACGAAAGACACUAAAAUUAUAGGAAAAGAUGGAAAAAGUGAAAAAAGAGAAAGAAACGAAGGAGAAGAAAAAAACCAAAGAAAAGAAGAAAACGAAAAUGAUAGGAAUGAAAAAAAAUAUAGUAAUAGUCCCAAUAUAGGUUCUAUUGGUUACCACCAGUAUGUACAACCAAAACAAGAGAAUACUAUUCAAUACCAUUAUGUACAACCAAAAAAAGAGGAUACUAUUCAAUACCAGUAUGUACAACCAAAACAAGAGGAUACUAUUCAAUACCAUUAUGUACAAUCAAAACAAGAGGAUACUAUUCAAUACCAGUAUGUACAACCAAAACAAGAGAAUACUAUUCAAUACCAUUAUGUACAACCAAAACAAGAGGAUACUAUUCAAUACCAGUAUGUCCAACCUGAGCAAGCUGUCAUCCAUGGUGGUUAUCAAUAUGCUCAACCAGGACAAACAGAUUCUAUUCAAUACCAGUAUGUACAACAAGAACAAGCUGUUUCUAGCGAUAUGAAAAACAUGGUUCCAUUUAUUGAUGAAAAUAAUUUAUCUAUUGAACAAAUUAUGAAUAUACCAGGUGUAAAGUUAGGUAACAGUUAUAUACAAGACAUAGAUAUAUGUUCUGAUUGGCUGAAAUUUAAUGACUAUGAUAAAAAUUUAAUUAAAGAAUCAUUAAAAAACAGUAUACAAAAUGAUAAUUAUAAAAACGUGGUAGGUCAUGGACAAUUUACUAAUACUACUUUCAAGACAUAGUGUGCGUUUUACCUAUUUUAAGAUUAUAUAUUUUUUAUUAAUUAUUUACCUAGGGGGGACAGGGAGAAAAAAAAAAAAAAAAAAAAAAAAAAAAAAAAAAAAAAAAAAAAAUUUAAGUUGUUAUAAACAUAGUUUCGAUUAAGAGGAAUACAUAUGCAUGUGUCUAAUCACGAGUUAAUAAAGACUAAAAUUAUUUUUAUCCCA